UACGAAGGGGGCUAGCGUUGCUCGGAUUGACUGGGCGGAAAGGGCGCGUAGGCGGUUCGUACAGUCAGACGUGAAAUUCCUGGGCUCAACCUGGGGGCUGCGUUUGAUACGUGCGGACUUGAGUGCGGAAGAGGGUCGUGGAAUUCCCAGUGUAGAGGUGAAAUUCGUAGAUAUUGGGAAGAACACCGGUGGCGAAGGCGGCGGCCUGGUCCGAUACUGACGCUGAGGCGCGAAAGCGUGGGGAGCAAACAGG
This 253-nucleotide ribosomal RNA is filed under the name uncultured bacterium. RNAcentral's name for it is "partial 16S ribosomal RNA". It matches the Rfam family "Bacterial small subunit ribosomal RNA", at positions 524 to 776 of the family's 1533-position model. The record is from RNAcentral.